RNAcentral lists this ribosomal RNA (253 nucleotides) under uncultured bacterium. RNAcentral's name for it is "partial 16S ribosomal RNA". It matches the Rfam family "Bacterial small subunit ribosomal RNA", at positions 524 to 776 of the family's 1533-position model. The record is from RNAcentral.
UACGUAGGGGGCAAGCGUUGUCCGGAAUUAUUGGGCGUAAAGGGCUCGCAGGCGGUCUUCUAAGUCUGAUGUGAAAUCUCGUGGCUUAACCACGAGCGGUCAUUGGAAACUGGAGGACUUGAGUACAGAAGAGGAGAGUGGAAUUCCACGUGUAGCGGUGAAAUGCGUAGAUAUGUGGAGGAACACCAGUGGCGAAGGCGACUUCCUGGACCGGUUCUGACACUGAGGAGCGAAAGCGUGGGGAGCGAUCCGG